AGGAUUGUAGCUCAGCGGUAGAGCGCUUGCCUCUCACACAUUAGGUCCUAGGUUGAAUCUUCAGCACCACAUAAAGAUAAAAAAUUAAAAAUAUAUUUUUUUUUAAAAAAAAGAAUGCUUAACUGAGCUCCCAGUGCAAGGGCAAAAAUUCAAUACUGGGUAAUAUUA
Molecule: transfer RNA, 168 nt
Filed under: Marmota monax (woodchuck)
Lineage: Eukaryota; Metazoa; Chordata; Mammalia; Rodentia; Sciuridae
Description: tRNA.Glu
Source: RNAcentral